AUUGAACGCUGGCGGCAGGCCUAACACAUGCAAGUCGAGCGGUAACAGAGAGUGCUUGCACUCUGCUGACGAGCGGCGGACGGGUGAGUAACGCGUAGGAAUCUACCUUGUAGUUGGGGAUAGCCAGGAGAAAUCCUGAUUAAUACCGAAUACGGUCUACGGACGAAAGGGGGCUUCGGCUCUCGCUGCAAGAGGAGCCUGCGUUGGAUUAGCUUGUUGGUGAGGUAAAAGCUCACCAAGGCGACGAUCUAUAGCUGGUUUGAGAGGAUGAUCAGCCACACUGGGACUGAGACACGGCCCAGACUCCUACGGGAGGCAGCAGUGGGGAAUAUUGGACAAUGGGCGAAAGCCUGAUCCAGCCAUGCCGCGUGUGUGAAGAAGGCCUUCGGGUUGUAAAGCACUUUCAGAGAGGAGGAAAGGUUAUCGGUUAAUACCCGGUAGCUGUGACGUUACUCUCAGAAGAAGCACCGGCUAACUCCGUGCCAGCAGCCGCGGUAAUACGGAGGGUGCGAGCGUUAAUCGGAAUUACUGGGCGUAAAGCGUACGUAGGCUGUUACUUAAGCCAGAUGUGAAAGCCCCGGGCUCAACCUGGGAACUGCAUUUGGAACUGAGUAACUAGAAUGUGUGAGAGGUAAGUGGAAUUUCCAGUGUAGCGGUGAAAUGCGUAGAGAUUGGAAAGAACACCAGUGGCGAAGGCGACUUACUGGCAUAACAUUGACGCUGAGGUACGAAAGCGUGGGUAGCAAACAGGAUUAGAUACCCUGGUAGUCCACGCCGUAAACGAUGUCUACUAGUUGUUGGGACCUUUAUGGACUUAGUGACGCAGCUAACGCAUUAAGUAGACCGCCUGGGGAGUACGGUCGCAAGAUUAAAACUCAAAUGAAUUGACGGGGGCCCGCACAAGCGGUGGAGCAUGUGGUUUAAUUCGAUGCAACGCGAAGAACCUUACCUAGCCUUGACAUCCAGAGAAUUUGGUAGAGAUACCUUAGUGCCUUCGGGAACUCUGUGACAGGUGCUGCAUGGCUGUCGUCAGCUCGUGUUGUGAAAUGUUGGGUUAAGUCCCGUAACGAGCGCAACCCUUAUCUUUAGUUGCCAGCACUUCGGGUGGGGACUCUAGAGAGACUGCCGGUGACAAACCGGAGGAAGGCGGGGACGACGUCAAGUCAUCAUGGCCCUUACGGCUAGGGCUACACACGUGCUACAAUGGCAAGGACAGAGGGCUGCGAACUCGCGAGAGUAAGCCAACCCCAGAAACCUUGUCGUAGUCCGGAUUGGAGUCUGCAACUCGACUCCAUGAAGUCGGAAUCGCUAGUAAUCGCGAAUCAGAAUGUCGCGGUGAAUACGUUCCCGGGCCUUGUACACACCGCCCGUCACACCACGGGAGUUGAUUGCACCAGAAGUAGGUAGCCUAACCUUUGGGAGGGCGCUUACCACGGUGUGGUCGAUGACUGGGGUG
This 1456-nucleotide ribosomal RNA is filed under the name Nocardioidaceae bacterium JBTF-M11. RNAcentral describes it as "bacterial SSU rRNA". It matches the Rfam family "Bacterial small subunit ribosomal RNA". The record is from RNAcentral. Lineage: Bacteria; Bacillati; Actinomycetota; Actinomycetes; Propionibacteriales; Nocardioidaceae.